CGCCCUUAGAGUUUGAUCCUGGCUCAGGAUGAACGCUGGCGGCGUGCCUAACACAUGCAAGUCGAGCGAAGCACAUGAAUACUAUUCUUCGGAUGAGGAUUCUUGUGACUGAGCGGCGGACGGGUGAGUAACGCGUGGGCAACCUGCCUUACACGGGGGGAUAACAGUUAGAAAUGACUGCUAAUACCGCAUAAGACCACAAAACCGCAUGGUUUGGUGGUAAAAACUCCGGUGGUGUAAGAUGGGCCCGCGUCUGAUUAGGUAGUUGGUGGGGUAACGGCCUACCAAGCCGACGAUCAGUAGCCGACCUGAGAGGGUGACCGGCCACAUUGGGACUGAGACACGGCCCACACUCCUACGGGAGGCAGCGGUGGGGAAUAUUGCACAGUGGGGGAAACCCUGAUGCAGCGACGCCGCGUGAGCGAUGAAUUAUUUCGGUAUGUAAAGCUCUAUCAGCAGGGAAGAAAAUGACGGUACCUGACUAAGAAGCCCCGGCUAACUACGUGCCAGCAGCCGCGGUAAUACGUAGGGGGCAAGCGUUAUCCUGAUUUACUGGGUGUAAAGGGAGCGUAGACGGCUUGGCAAGCCAGAUGUGAAAGGCUGGGGCUCCCCCCCAGGACUGCUUUUGGAACUGUCAUGCUAGAGUGGUCGGAGAGGCAGGCUUAAUU
Molecule: ribosomal RNA, 668 nt
Filed under: uncultured bacterium
Lineage: Bacteria
Description: bacterial SSU rRNA
Rfam family: Bacterial small subunit ribosomal RNA
Source: RNAcentral